Non-coding RNA from Cucumis melo (muskmelon), 1486 nucleotides. The record is from Rfam. NCBI's taxonomy places the organism in Eukaryota, Viridiplantae, Streptophyta, Magnoliopsida, Cucurbitales, Cucurbitaceae.
CUCAUGGAGAGUUCGAUUCUGGCUCAUUAUGAACGCUGGUGGCAUGCUUAACACAUGCAAGUCGGACAAGAAGUGGUGUUUCCAUGGGCGAACAGGUGAGUAACGCAUAAGAACCUACCCUUAGGAGGGGAAUAACAACUAGAAACGACUACUAAUAUCCCAUACACUGAGGAGAAAAAGGAGGAAUCCACCCGAGGAGGGGCUCGCGUUUGAUUAGCUAGUUGGUGAGGCAAUAGAUUACCAAGAUGAUCAAUAGUUAGUCCGAAAGGAUGAUCAGCCACACUGGGACUGAGACACGACCCAGACUCCUACGGUGGCAGCAGUAGGGAAUUUUCCUUAAUGAGCAAAAUCUUGAUGGAGCAAUGCUGCAUGGAGGUAGAAGGCCUGCGGGUUGUGAACUUCUUUUCUCGGAGAAGAAGCAAUGACGAUAUCUAAGGAAUAAGUAUCGACUAACUUUGUGCUAGCAGCUGCUGUAAUACAGAGGAUGCAAGUGUUAUCUGGAAUGAUUGAGCACAAAGUAUCUGUAGGUGGCUUUUUAAGUCCGCCGUUAAAUCCCAGGACUCAACCCUGGACAGGCGAUGGAAACUACUAAGCUGGAGUAUGGUAGGGGCAGAGGGAAUUUUCGGUGGAGCAAUGAAAUGUAUAGAGAUCGAAAAGAACACCAACGACGAAAGCACUCUGCUGGGUUGACACUGACACUGAGAGACGAAAGCUAGGGGAGCAAAUGGGAUUAGAUACCCUAGUAGUCCUAGUCGUAAAUGAUGGAUACUAGGUGCUGUGCAUAUCAACCCAUGCAGUGCUGUAGCUAACGCGUUAAGUAUCCCGCAUGGGGAGUAUGUUCGCAAGAAUGAAACUCAAAGGAAUUGAUGGGGGCCUGCACAAGCGGUGGAGCAUGUGGUUUAAUCCAAUGCAAAGCGAAGAACCUUAUUAGGGCUUGACAUACCGCGAAUCCUUUUGAAAGUGAGGGGUGCCUUUGAGAACACGGACACAGAUGGUGCAUGGUUGUCGUAGCUCGUGCCGUAAGGUGUUGGGUUAAGUCCUACAAUGAGCGCAACCCUCGUGUUUAGUUGCUAAUCGUUGAGGUUGGAAACCUGAGCAGACUGUCGGUGAUAAGUCGAAGGAAGGUGAGGAUGACGUCAAGUCAUCAUGACCUUUAUGCCUUGGGCGACAUACGUGCUAUAAUGGCUGGGACAAAGGGUUGUUAUCUCGCAAGGGUGAGCUAACUACAAAAACCCGUCCUUAGUUCGGAUUGUAGGCUACAACUCGCAUGCAUGAAUCUAGAAUCGCUAGUAAUCUCCGGUCAGCCAUACGAUGGUGAAUUCGUUCCAAGCCUUGUAAACACCCACCCGUCACACUAUGAGAGCUGGUCGUGCUCGAAGUCAUUACCUUAACCUCAAGGAAGGGGAUACCGAAGGCAAAGCUAGUGACUGAAGUGAAGUUGUAACAAGUUAGCCGUACUGGAAGGUGCAGCUGGAUCACCUCAUUU